RNAcentral lists this transfer RNA (68 nucleotides) under Tridacna squamosa. RNAcentral describes it as "tRNA-Leu". The record is from RNAcentral. Lineage: Eukaryota; Metazoa; Mollusca; Bivalvia; Cardiida; Cardiidae.
GCUUGAGUAGCUUAGUGAUGAGUAGUGUUGCUUUUAAGUAGCAAGGGCGGGUUAUUUCUCCUCAAGCA